Molecule: long non-coding RNA, 288 nt
Filed under: Mustela putorius furo (domestic ferret)
Lineage: Eukaryota; Metazoa; Chordata; Mammalia; Carnivora; Mustelidae
Description: lncRNA (ENSMPUG00000024145.1)
Source: RNAcentral
CUCGGAAUGUGAAAGAAGGUUCUAGAACAUCUGGCCAGGCUCUGUGAAGACUGUGCUCUCUCCAGCCUCUGGGUGACAGCUAGAGAAUGGAGACAGGAGUGAAGAGAGAGCCCGCACUCAUGGGUUGGGCCUCGCUCGAAAGAACUGAGAAGUAUCUGUUUAGGCAUAAAAGCUGAAAACAGUGUCCAAGGCGCCUUUCAAAAAGAAUCAUUUUUGUAGCUCAACCACAGCCAAGCCGAUUUUUUUUUAAUGCAAAAAAUAAAUAAAUAUUACCCCACUCCCGGUCGA